Phyllostomus discolor (pale spear-nosed bat) is the source of this 162-nucleotide long non-coding RNA. RefSeq lists it as uncharacterized. NCBI's taxonomy places the organism in Eukaryota, Metazoa, Chordata, Mammalia, Chiroptera, Phyllostomidae. The transcript has 3 exons. The record is from RefSeq and is a predicted model, not a curated record.
UUCGUUUGUUUAUUUUUAGAGAAAGGGAAAUGAAAUGAAAAAGAAAGGGAGAAAAACAUCAGUGUGUGGUUGCCUCUCGAGAGCCCCCCACUGAAGACCUGGCCCGACACCCAGGCAUGAGCUCUCAACUGGGAAUCGAACCGGCGACCCUUUGGUUCGCAG